UAGGGAAUCUUCCACAAUGGACGAAAGUCUGAUGGAGCAACGCCGCGUGAGUGAAGAAGGUUUUCGGAUCGUAAAGCUCUGUUGUUGGUGAAGAAGGAUAGAGGCAGUAACUGGUCUUUAUUUGACGGUAAUCAACCAGAAAGUCACGGCUAACUACGUGCCAGCAGCCGCGGUAAUACGUAGGUGGCAAGCGUUGUCCGGAUUUAUUGGGCGUAAAGCGAGCGCAGGCGGAAUGAUAAGUCUGAUGUGAAAGCCCACGGCUCAACCGUGGAACUGCAUCGGAAACUGUCAUUCUUGAGUGCAGAAGAGGAGAGUGGAACUCCAUGUGUAGCGGUGGAAUGCGUAGAUAUAUGGAAGAACACCAGUGGCGAAGGCGGCUCUCUGGUCUGCAACUGACGCUGAGGCUCGAAAGCAUGGGUAGCGAACAGGAUUAGAUACCCUGGUAGUCCAUGCCGUAAACGAUGAGCGCUAGGUGUUGGGGACUUUCCGGUCCUCAGUGCCGCAGCAAAUC
This 511-nucleotide ribosomal RNA is filed under the name uncultured bacterium. Its description in RNAcentral is "partial 16S ribosomal RNA". It matches the Rfam family "Bacterial small subunit ribosomal RNA", at positions 355 to 857 of the family's 1533-position model. The record is from RNAcentral.